RNAcentral lists this unclassified non-coding RNA (161 nucleotides) under uncultured Helotiales. RNAcentral describes it as "sequence contains ITS1". Lineage: Eukaryota; Fungi; Ascomycota; Leotiomycetes; Helotiales. The record is from RNAcentral.
CAGAGAAAUUGCCCUUCGGGGUAGAUCUCCCACCCUUUGUCUACAUUACCUUUGUUGCUUUGGCAGGCCCGUCUUUUGACCACUGGCUUAGGCUGGUCAGUGUCUGCCAGAGGACCUCAAACUCUUAAUAUUUUGUUGUCUGAGUACUAUAUAAUAAGUUA